UGGGGAAUUUUGGACAAUGGGCGCAAGCCUGAUCCAGCAAUGCCGCGUGCAGGAUGAAGGCCUUCGGGUUGUAAACCGCUUUUGUCAGGGAAGAAACGAGUUUCUCUAAUACAGAGACUUAAUGACGGUACCUGAAGAAUAAGCACCGGCUAACUACGUGCCAGCAGCCGCGGUAAUACGUAGGGUGCGAGCGUUAAUCGGAAUUACUGGGCGUAAAGCGUGCGCAGGCGGUUAUAUAAGACAGAUGUGAAAUCCCCGGGCUCAACCUGGGACCUGCAUUUGUGACUGUAUAGCUAGAGUACGGUAGAGGGGGAUGGAAUUCCGCGUGUAGCAGUGAAAUGCGUAGAUAUGCGGGGGAACACCGAUGGCGAAGGCAAUCCCCUGGACCUGUACUGACGCUCAUGCACGAAAGCGUGGGGAGCAAACA
RNAcentral lists this ribosomal RNA (427 nucleotides) under uncultured bacterium. RNAcentral's name for it is "bacterial SSU rRNA". It matches the Rfam family "Bacterial small subunit ribosomal RNA", at positions 355 to 774 of the family's 1533-position model. The record is from RNAcentral.